RNAcentral lists this ribosomal RNA (318 nucleotides) under Triticum aestivum (bread wheat). RNAcentral's name for it is "partial small subunit ribosomal RNA". Lineage: Eukaryota; Viridiplantae; Streptophyta; Magnoliopsida; Poales; Poaceae. The record is from RNAcentral.
AUGGAGAUUAUUUUGUAUGCUCAUGGUGUUGUGGCGGCUGCACGGCGGAGGGCUGCACGCUCGACUUCGACAUCGGCGUCUUCAACAAGGAGAAGAUCUCCCUCGCCAGCCACGAUGAGUAUAUGGUGGCGGGCGGGUGCAACCUCUUCCCACUGCUCCCGGAGGCGUCAAGGGCGUCAUGUCCUCUAUCAUGAUUGGAUGGGGCUCCCAGGUUCAGUCCCAUCUUCGCUUUGCUCCAUCACUGCACAGUUUCUCUCCUAUCUGUCGAGAUAUGUCUCUACUGCUAUUCUACUGAAUAUUGUUCUUGGAGCAUCAUAG